GGAUUAGAUACCCUGGUAGUCCACGCCGUAAACGAUGUCUACUAGCCGUUGGGGGUCUUGUAUCCUUAGUGGCGCAGCUAACGCGAUAAGUAGACCGCCUGGGGAGUACGGCCGCAAGGUUAAAACUCAAAUGAAUUGACGGGGGCCCGCACAAGCGGUGGAGCAUGUGGUUUAAUUCGAUGCAACGCGAAGAACCUUACCAGGUCUUGACAUACAGAGAAGUUACUAGAGAUAGUUUCGUGCCUUCGGGAACUCUGAUACAGGUGCUGCAUGGCUGUCGUCAGCUCGUGUUG
RNAcentral lists this ribosomal RNA (293 nucleotides) under uncultured bacterium. Its description in RNAcentral is "partial 16S ribosomal RNA". It matches the Rfam family "Bacterial small subunit ribosomal RNA", at positions 775 to 1067 of the family's 1533-position model. The record is from RNAcentral.